Molecule: non-coding RNA, 73 nt
Organism: Cordylochernes scorpioides
Lineage: Eukaryota; Metazoa; Arthropoda; Arachnida; Pseudoscorpiones; Chernetidae
Source: the annotation of a GenBank genome assembly
UCCAGGACAGCCUAGUGGACAUGGCACCUGCCCGGUAAGCAGAAGGUUGUGGGUUCGAUUCCCGCUCCUGGAC